Molecule: long non-coding RNA, 611 nt
Organism: Hyposmocoma kahamanoa
Lineage: Eukaryota; Metazoa; Arthropoda; Insecta; Lepidoptera; Cosmopterigidae
Exons: 3
Source: RefSeq, a predicted model, not a curated record
GGCUAAAUACCUUUUUAACAAAUGAAAAUGAAGUAUAUUUCCCUUACAGUGACGUUGAAAAAAAGUAGCAAUGAUCGUCUUUUAUUUCAUACUUAGGCGGUGACACAACGUUUGCGUAAGAAGUCAUCGUCGGGUAAAGCAUUCCAUAAGUGACCCCUUGCAAUAUUUCUAUGGGCAACACCCACCAAGCGUUCGUCAAGAACGAGUACAAUAUGAAGCGGACGCCAAAUGCGAAGAGCACCAAACUCAUCAUGUUUACGUGCCCCAAUUUUCUUAAGAUAUAACCUGUCAGUUUGACGUUAUGGAAAUUGAAGCGAUCGGAAUAUUUUAAGACCUGUCAAAUUAAAAUGUAUACAGCAUAUUUUACAAAUGUCAUAGAAAAGUUAAUUUAGAGCCUGGACUUUACGCAUUGCAAGUAGCGUAUAAGCAGUUCGACUCGACUCAAUUAGUUGUACUAACAUACCAUAGUUUGAACUAUCAUAUUCUAAUAUUUAAUUUUACUGCAAACGCCAUUACCGUCCAUGAACGGAUUAAUUCAUAUAAUUUACUUCCUACAUAGGAGACAAAAAUUCACGUGACUAGGCUCCAAUGGCGUCCAUAUAACUCGAUUC